Molecule: small RNA, 125 nt
Filed under: Marmota monax (woodchuck)
Lineage: Eukaryota; Metazoa; Chordata; Mammalia; Rodentia; Sciuridae
Source: RNAcentral
GCUGGGCACAGUGGCGCAAGCCUGUAAUCCCAGCGGCAUGGGAGGCUGAGACAGGAGGAUCACAAGUUCAAAGCCAGCCUCAGCAAUGGUGAGGCACUAAGCAACACAGUGAGAACCUAACUCUA